RNAcentral lists this ribosomal RNA (115 nucleotides) under Mytilus coruscus. The record is from RNAcentral. Lineage: Eukaryota; Metazoa; Mollusca; Bivalvia; Mytilida; Mytilidae.
CUACGACCAUAUCACGCUGAAAACACCGGUUCUCGUCCGAUCACCGAAGUUAAGCAGCGUCGAGCUCGGACCAGUACUUGGAUGGGUGACCGCCUGGGAAUACCGGGUGUUGUAG